CUGUGGAUAGAAAUUACAGGGAAAGUUACUGGUAUGAUAAUUGUGAUUAUAUUAUAUUACUAUUAUAUUUAGUGUAUUGCUAAUCAAUAUAUUGUUACUUCCCAGGUGACAGCGGCUCACUUCAAGAGCAGGUGAAGCAAGUUGGGACAAUGUUGAAGACAUUUGCUCGCACUGGGCAAUCGGGUGCAGAUCAAACCCUAAUGCUGCGACGUCUUGGAGUUUGGCGAUGUUGUGCGUAGCAUGGACAACAAAAUGCUAUGCUGCAACAUUUCAGUGCCAAUGUGUCUGUUGGAGAGUUAUCCCUGCCAGGGGAUCUGUUACUCCCCCCUAGACACCCAGGAAGAUUUGGUGUUGCUUGACAACAGUUUGAGGCAGGAUAAAGAGCUCCAGCAACGAUUUCUUCGGUUUUUGGCAAUCAAAUGUGGGAGGGACCUAAAGACAACCAUGUGGCGAAUGCUUCAGAGUAUCUUC
Molecule: long non-coding RNA, 471 nt
Organism: Xyrauchen texanus (razorback sucker)
Lineage: Eukaryota; Metazoa; Chordata; Actinopteri; Cypriniformes; Catostomidae
Exons: 3
Source: RefSeq, a predicted model, not a curated record